GAUGAAGAACUUAGCGAAAUGCGAUACUUGGUGUGAAUUGCAGAAUCCCGUGAACCAUCGAGUCUUUGAACGCAAGUUGCGCCCGAAGCCAUUAGGCCGAGGGCACGCCUGCCUGGGCGUCACACGUCGUUGCCCCCCCCAUCUACUCCUUCGGGAUUGCGGGGGGCGGAUGAUGGCCUCCCGUGCGCCUCGCCGCGCGGUUGGCAUAAAUGCCAAGUCCUCGGCGACGCACGCCACGACAAUCGGUGGUUGCGAAACCUCGGUUGCCCGUCGUGUGCGGUCGUCGCGCAUCGAGGGCUCGAAAAAAUUGCCGGGCUUCGGCUCGACUUUCAACGCAACCCCAGGUCAGGCGGGGUUACCCGCUGAAUUUAAGCAUAUCAAUAAGCGGAGGA
This 392-nucleotide unclassified non-coding RNA is filed under the name soil metagenome. RNAcentral's name for it is "partial contains 5.8S ribosomal RNA, internal transcribed spacer 2, and large subunit ribosomal RNA". The stretch from base 1 to 122 matches the Rfam family "5.8S ribosomal RNA", at positions 35 to 154 of the family's 154-position model. The record is from RNAcentral.